AUUGAACGCUGGCGGCAGGCCUAACACAUGCAAGUCGAGCGGAUGAAGGGAGCUUGCUCCUGGAUUCAGCGGCGGACGGGUGAGUAAUGCCUAGGAAUCUGCCUGGCAGUGGGGGAUAACGUCCGGAAACGGACGCUAAUACCGCAUACGUCCUGAGGGAGAAAGUGGGGGAUCUUCGGACCUCACGCUAUCAGAUGAGCCUAGGUCGGAUUAGCUAGUUGGUGGGGUAAAGGCCUACCAAGGCGACGAUCCGUAACUGGUCUGAGAGGAUGAUCAGUCACACUGGAACUGAGACACGGUCCAGACUCCUACGGGAGGCAGCAGUGGGGAAUGUUGGACAAUGGGCGAAAGCCUGAUCCAGCCAUGCCGCGUGUGUGAAGAAGGUCUUCGGAUUGUAAAGCACUUUAAGUUGGGAGGAAGGGCAGUAAGUUAAUACCUUGCUGUUUUGACGUUACCAACAGAAUAAGCACCGGCUAACUUCGUG
RNAcentral lists this ribosomal RNA (484 nucleotides) under uncultured bacterium. RNAcentral's name for it is "partial 16S ribosomal RNA". It matches the Rfam family "Bacterial small subunit ribosomal RNA", at positions 30 to 507 of the family's 1533-position model. The record is from RNAcentral.